This 477-nucleotide long non-coding RNA is filed under the name Triticum aestivum (bread wheat). RNAcentral describes it as "long non-coding RNA (TAES_LNC025919)". The record is from RNAcentral. Lineage: Eukaryota; Viridiplantae; Streptophyta; Magnoliopsida; Poales; Poaceae.
GCCCGCUACAACAAGAAGCCCACCAUCACGUCCCGGGAGAUCCAGACCUCCGUCCGCCUCGUCCUCCCCGGGGAGCUCGCCAAGCACGCCGUCUCCGAGGGCACCAAGGCCGUCACCAAGUUCACCUCCUCCUAGACUGACGACGCGCCGCUUGUUGUGACAGAUGUGGCCGUCUGCUGUAUCUGUAGUCGCUGUUGACUCUGCUUAUCUCCAUCUGCAAGUAGUGGUAGCUGUAGUGCGCGUGCUGGGUGAUGAUUGCCAACGCUUUGUUGGCUGGUUGGAUGUAAGAACUGAACGUGUUGCUUUUGCAAACUGAUGAAAUCUAUCUAGAAAAUGUCGCAGUUGUGGUACUACAUGAUAUUACUAAUGCUGUCAUUUCUACUCUUAUAAACCGAGCCUUUUCAUUUUAUUUGCACAAGUAGUGCCAUUACUGGUUCGGAAGCGCUGAUUGCUUGCCGAAUCUUGUUUUGCAAACUG